UCCAGCUUAUCACUGGCGGUCCCUCUAGAGAUCCACUUGCGUGGCAACUAAAGGCGAGGGUUGCGCUCGUUGCGGGACUUAACCCAACAUCUCACGACACGAGCUGACGACAGCCAUGCAGCACCUGUCUCUUCGCUCCCUUUCGGGCACAUCCACCUCUCAGCGGACUUCGGUACAUGUCAAGGGUAGGUAAGGUUUUUCGCGUUGCAUCGAAUUAAUCCACAUAAUCCACCGCUUGUGCGGGUCCCCGUCAAUUCCUUUGAGUUUUAAUCUUGCGACCGUACUCCCCAGGCGGAAUGCUUAAAGCGUUAGCUGCGCCACUAGUGAGUAAACCCACUAACGGCUGGCAUUCAUCGUUUACAGCGUGGACUAC
Molecule: unclassified non-coding RNA, 373 nt
Filed under: uncultured Pseudomonadota bacterium
Lineage: Bacteria; Pseudomonadati; Pseudomonadota
Description: uncultured proteobacterium contains 16S-23S intergenic spacer region
Source: RNAcentral